RNAcentral lists this ribosomal RNA (254 nucleotides) under uncultured bacterium. Its description in RNAcentral is "partial 16S ribosomal RNA". It matches the Rfam family "Bacterial small subunit ribosomal RNA", at positions 524 to 776 of the family's 1533-position model. The record is from RNAcentral.
UACGUAGGGACCAAGCGUUGUUCGGAUUUACUGGGCGUAAAGGGCGCGUAGGCGGCGUGGUAAGUCAGCUGUGAAAUCUCCGAGCUUAACUCGGAACGGUCAGCUGAUACUGCUGUGCUAGAGUACAGAAAGGGCAAUCGGAAUUCUUGGUGUAGCGGUGAAAUGCGUAGAUAUCAAGAGGAACACCUGAGGCGAAGGCGGGUUGCUAGGCUGAUACUGACGCUGAGUGCGCGAAAGCGUGGGUAGCAAACAGG